GCUUGUGGAACGGCAUGUCGUGGCAAUCUCAUAUAUGUGUUUGUGUAAGUACUUGUUUUAGGCCAUCCUGAAAAUUGUGUAGAUAAAAAGAAAUUGGUAAGAAAUACACCAUAUGUUGUAAGCUGUUGAUUACAACUUUACAAGUAUACGGGGCUGAAACAUGGUGAAAACAUCUGUUCCAUAUCUUUAUCGAUAAUAUGGUGCAGUACUAAAUUGUCAUCAUAAGGAACUAGCAUGUCUCAUUUCCCACUUGAAAUUAUGUAUGAGAGGUACUGAUUGAUGAAUAGAAUCAAUACGUGAUGACUUCCUUGUUUAGUUCAGAAGUCAUAUUCAGAACGUGGAAUUUCCCAUAAUUUUUGUGCAAGAGUUAUUGAAACUCGUGUUCCAGCCAGGCCAAAGGAGGAUUUAAAUGUCCCGCAAAAAAAUAAGGAUUUAAACAGCAGGUCACUGCCCAAAUAAUGAAUGGAACAACUACACCAUAUUCAUUCCUCUGUAGCAACUGCUGUAUGAUAUCAAUCAGAACAAGGGAGAGAAAAUCAACACGUACUCUUCUACUUUGAUAGGGAUGGGGCUAUACCAAAGAACUUUCAGUAAAAUGUAGAUACUUGUAAUUGUUAAUUUUUCUGAAAGAAAUGGGUAUUAGCACCAUAAACCUGCUGUAUUUCUAAAAAUGAUUAAUCUUCAACUAACCGCUCAAUGACAAGUGAACUUACAGGGGUAUGCACUAUCUGAUUUAGACGUUUGCCAACUUCACCAUCAUUUUUAUUGAGAAUUGUCAACAAGAUCGACUGUCAUCUCCGCUCCAUACGGGUAUACUCCUGGGCAACAUGUGGAACCUAUCAGCCUCGUGAGCAACAUGUGUAACCUAUCGAGGUUAUCCUGAUCCUGCACCAUUACCAGCAAAAAGCAUCAAUAAAUAGAUGAACUCUUCAAGAGAAGCAACAUACACAUCUGUACUAACCAUC
RNAcentral lists this long non-coding RNA (965 nucleotides) under Triticum aestivum (bread wheat). Its description in RNAcentral is "long non-coding RNA (TAES_LNC003595)". The record is from RNAcentral. Lineage: Eukaryota; Viridiplantae; Streptophyta; Magnoliopsida; Poales; Poaceae.